GCGGCCCCCUGGACGAGACUGACGCUCAGGUGCGAAAGCGUGGGGAGCAAACAGGAUUAGAUACCUUGGUAGUCCACGCUGUAAACGAUGUCGAUUUGGAGGUUGUGCCCUUGAGGCGUGGCUUCCGGAGCUAACGCGUUAAAUCGACCGCCUGGGGAGUACGGCCGCAAGGUUAAAACUCAAAUGAAUUGACGGGGGCCCGCACAAGCGGUGGAGCAUGUGGUUUAAUUCGAUGCAACGCGAAGAACCUUACCUACUCUUGACAUCCAGAGAACUUUCCAGAGAUGGAUUGGUGCCUUCGGGAACUCUGAGACAGGUGCUGCAUGGCUGUCGUCAGCUCGUGUUGUGAAAUGUUGGGUUAAGUCCCGCAACGAGCGCAACCCUUAUCCUUUGUUGCCAGCGGUUCGGCCGGGAACUCAAAGGAGACUGCCAGUGAUAAACUGGAGGAAGGUGGGGAUGACGUCAAGUCAUCAUGGCCCUUACGAGUAGGGCUACACACGUGCUACAAUGGCGUAUACAAAGAGAAGCGACCUCGCGAGAGCAAGCGGACCUCAUAAAAUACGUCGUAGUCCGGAUUGGAGUCUGCAACUCGACUCCAUGAAGUCGGAAUCGCUAGUAAUCGUAGAUCAGAAUGCUACGGUGAAUACGUUCCCGGGCCUUGUACACACCGCCCGUCACACCAUGGGAGUGGGUUGCAAAAGAAGUAGGUAGCUUAACCUUCGGGAGGGCGCUUACCACUUUGUGAUUCAUGACUGGGGUGAAGUCGUAACAAGGUAACCA
RNAcentral lists this ribosomal RNA (780 nucleotides) under uncultured Serratia sp. Its description in RNAcentral is "bacterial SSU rRNA". It matches the Rfam family "Bacterial small subunit ribosomal RNA", at positions 721 to 1502 of the family's 1533-position model. The record is from RNAcentral. Lineage: Bacteria; Pseudomonadati; Pseudomonadota; Gammaproteobacteria; Enterobacterales; Yersiniaceae.